This is a non-coding RNA of Caenorhabditis elegans, 73 nucleotides long. NCBI's taxonomy places the organism in Eukaryota, Metazoa, Nematoda, Chromadorea, Rhabditida, Rhabditidae. The record is from Ensembl.
CCUGUUGAAUUGCUCAGCAGAUAUCUCUUCGCCAUUUUGAGAUGUGCUCGGUAGGUGAGUUGUCAUCUGAAAA